This 207-nucleotide ribosomal RNA is filed under the name uncultured bacterium. Its description in RNAcentral is "partial 16S ribosomal RNA". It matches the Rfam family "Bacterial small subunit ribosomal RNA", at positions 568 to 774 of the family's 1533-position model. The record is from RNAcentral.
AGCGCAGGCGGUUAGGUCAGUCUGAAGUGGAAGCCCGGGGCUCAACCCCGGAAGUGCUUUGGAUACUUCCUAACUUGAGUACGCGAGAGGAAAGCGGAAUUCCAGGUGUAGCGGUGAAAUGCGUAGAUAUCUGGAGGAACACCGGUGGCGAAAGCGGCUUUCUGGCGCGUUACUGACGCUGAGGCUCGAAAGCGUGGGGAGCGAACG